UUUGGCGGCGAGCGCCUCGCAAGGUCUCGUAGGGGUGAUUGCUGCUGUAUUUCUCGGAGUUAAGGUCGUAGUAAUACUUGCCGUUUUCCAAGUAGCGCGUGUCGCUCAUUCCUUGAGGCUGGAAGGAGUUGCGGCGGCUGCUGAAGGUGGCGGCGCCCUCGCUCUGCCCCUGCGGCUGGAAGGAGUUGCGGCCGUUGCUGAAGGUGGCGGCGCCCUCGCUCUGCCCCUGCGGCUGGCUGUUGAAGCUGCUCCCGCCAUUGUAGUAGAAGUUGCCGGCGGCGUUGUCUCCGUUGUUGGCGGCGGCGGGGUAGCUUCUGAACUCGGUAUCCUCCUCUUGCUGCUGCUGGUUGUUGUUGUAGUAAUUCUGCGCGCCGCUGUAAUAAUUGUUUCUGUUGUUGUCGUUGUCGGGAUGGGUGGCGCUGAAGCUGCUUUCCUCGGGGAAGGCUGCGGUGCCUUGGUUUACGUCAGAUUCGGGCUGGGUGACGUAGGCCACCGGGUUGUAGUUCUUGGGGAGGUAUUUGUUGACGGGUUGUUUGAAUUCGGCGGCGGCGGGGGUGGUGGUGGUGGUGGCUGCGGUGGAGGGAGGGUUUUGGCCGGACUCGUGGCCGUAGAGGCCGUAGCUGUUCUCGUUUUCCGGGAGGAAAUUGGGCUCUUGCUGAUUGGUGGAAGCUUCUUUGUUGUUGGGGACAACAACGUUGUUGGUGGUGCUGGGGAUUUUGUUGAAGAACUGGCUGUCUCUUGCAUGGAUAUGCAGAGAGGAGAAGAGGGUGAGGAGGAGGAAGAGGGAGAGUUUCAUGGCGGGGGAAGCCAUUGCAGGAUGAGAGAGAGAGAGAGAGAGAGUGUAUAGUGUUGUGAACUUGGUGUGGUUUGUGUUUUUAUAGAUGGGAAGCUCUGCCUCUGCCUUUGUGAGUGUGUGAGUGAGUGAGUGAGUGUGUUAUGAACUUUUAAAAUUUCAACCGAUUUGGUGGAAAUGGGAGAGGAUUAGGUCAUUAUAGCACAAAUAAGACUUAUUUAAUUGCGUUUUGUGCGCGUAUUUAUUUCCAUAAUUUCCUCUGUAGUGAAUAUUAAUUUAUUAUUAUAUCUGCGCCUGUGAGCACUCCCCACAGUAAGUAUGGGCGCAAUCAAUAAAUUCAACUUUUAUGGAGAAAAUAUAACGUACAAUGGAUGGUAAUGUAUGAAACAAGCAUACCACAAAAGCUUCACGUUUCAUUAUUAUAAGGAUACACCACCCUGCUUAAUGUAUCAAUAGUUUACUGAUAAUGUUAAUCUACAUAUAUAACCAACUAAUUUUCCAAAAAAGAAAGAACAUCAUUCGGAAUGUCCAUAGAAUCAGGUCGUGGAAUUGUUAGAUUUUGUAAAUUAUACUCCAGAAAAUAACAAAUAAACUGGCACAUUGAUUAAUGUCAUAAUGUGAAAAGGAAAAUUACUAUCACAUGUGCAAGUAUGUUGAUCAUACAUGAGGUCAAAGGUCUCGAAUUUUAAAUUUAUUUAUUUACGUAUGUUGAUCUAAUAAUAAAAUAGUUAAUAUAUGAGAUCGUCCCGAUCUUUAAAAAUUUAUGUAUCUUUAACUAAAAAUAAAGAAAGUUAGGUUCUCGUAUUGUUAUCAAUCAGUCAUUUGGAUUUUCGUUCUAAUUUAGUAAGACCUGGUUAUCAUGGUACAUUUAAUGCGCAUUAAUAAAAUUAAUUGUAAACCAAGUAAAAAAAAAACUUAUAAACCAAAUAGCAUUUUAUUUUUAGUUAAUUUAAAAGGUAAAAUAUUAUUUUAUUCCAACAGUAUAAAAACAUUUGCAUAUUAAAUCAAGAAAACUUAUGAAAUAAUAUGGACAUUUUAUCGUAUGAAAAAAUUUAGAUGACAACAGAAUUGACGAAUGACAUUUCUAUUCGUAUAAAACUAAUUAAUGACAUGGAAAAAUGGAGUGUUUUAUGUUUAUGUAACCUUUUUAGAGGGACGAAAAAAUAAUACAAGGUCAAGGUUGUUGUUUCUUUCUCUUAUUUAAAGUGGAAAAUAACUAAAAAUUGCUCUUUAAUUAAAAUAAAUAAAUAAAAAGCAAUUUCUUUGUGAUUCACCAAGUGUACAGUCCUACUGCUGCAAUAUGAUGAGAAUUGUUCUAUUCUUCCAUGAACAAAAGGAUCAAAACCUUCCACACCCCCCCCCCCCCCCCCCCCCCCCCCCCCUCCCCCCCCAACCCACCCUCACACCAUGUAAUCUGUUUAAUCGAUGACAAGUUUCACUUGAUUAAAAACCCCUUUAGUUUUAUUUGAACAAAACUACCAUGCACGAAUCCAUUUAUGAACUAGCUCGAUCGUAUUACACUUGAACCUUAUUAUUUAUUUAAUGAGUAUAUAUCUAAGAGUAAGUGAAUUUAAUAGAUAUAUUUAAAUAGUAAAUAAAGAUUGGAAUCAAAAUUGCAGGUUUCCUAUCAAAGGCGGGAGCAGCGUUGAGCAAUAAAUGUAUUCACAUCUUUAGGUGGAUUCUGCGUAUGAUGGAUAAUUCCAUAAAUAACUCGAAAAAAAAAUAGAAAUUCCAAAAAUUCGGGAAAAGUGGGUAGAAUAGACAAUAGAGGAGAGUAGUCAUGCGUGGAUUGUGGGUGGAGUGGGUGGGACAUGAAAAAUUAUAGUCCUACACUAACCAUGUGCCUCUUCAAAUAUUAAGGGUUAUACCAAACUCUUCUUUACACUUAUGGAAUUGAUUUUGAUGGGGGGCCUCCACACUCAUUCACAAAUUGCAUGCCUAUACCAACAUUUCACAAAUAUGGGGGUCCCCACCCACACAAAUCACACAUUACAUAUGGUUUUAAAUUAAAUGAUUCACUCUAAUUACACUACAUAUAUUAGUCCUAAGUCUCAUAGCCACUACAUUUUUAGAAAACCCAAUUUUUGCUAUGCUAAAUGUUCUAUUCACUUACCAUAUGUUAUAGCAUAGUGAAUAGUGUUUUUGGGGAAAUGGAUUUGACAAGUUUAAAUUUUAUACUUCCUCCGCCUCAUAGUCACGUCUCAAUUACUAUACUCAGAUGUCCCACUAAUAAGGUUCCAUAUUUUUUUCAACAAAAAAAUUACUUAUUUAAAAUGUUGCUAAUAGUGAACCCAACACACUUUAUACACCACAGAAUUGUUUACUUCAAAGGAUUAUGCUUGAUAAAUAAAAAUAGUAAGACUAAUCUCUUUGAUAAAUAAAAAUGUUGCUUGAUUAUUUCUGUCAUUUAAACUAAUUUUACUUGAUUCAUUGGGAUUGGAGAAAUCAUACGAUAAAAAUACUCGAUAGUGCAUCUUUUGAAUCACACAAAAUAAACACCCUCAACUCACUUAAAAUAAUCCUUAAAUACCUUCUACCAACUCACUUUAUACAUUCUUUUUAAACUACACUUUUCUUAAUCUUCUUGCCAAAAAGUAACGAGACGACAUUACUAAUGAGACAAAUGAAGUAUUUUGUUUUGUUCUAAAAAAAUAAGAUUGUUCUUAUAUUAUCAAGUAGGACAAUAUUCGUAUAGUUGUAUGUUAUAUGAUGGUGCAUUUAUAUAAUUGUUAAUUAAUUCUUAAAAGUUUUGUAACUCCUAAACUUACAUCAUUUAUUAGUAUUAUGAAAAAGACUCACAUUAUUACAAUUACAAUACUCUUUAAAUUUCGACAAUCAGUUAGAUUUUUCGUUCUUAGAUAAUUCUACUCAUUCUAGAUUUAAACAUGAUAAAUUCAUUGGACAUUAUAUGUCCAAGUAAAAAAUGUAUUCCUAUUUCUUAACUUAAUAAUAUGUAUAUAUAAAUGUAUAACUUUCCCAUAAUCUUUCAUCUACUAUGUUAAUUGAUACACACCAACUCUACCAGCCCCCUCUGUCUUCCUAGACCACCGUGUACUUUUCUUUCUUCUUUGGGCUCAAGUAAUAAAUGUUUUCAACUAUGAUUUUAUCACUAUUUAUGUUUUUAAGUUAAUGACUUUUAAUUCGAUGGGUUGCCCCUUUUAUGUUUGGUUCUAUUAUGGAAACAUAAUUGGUGGGGGUGAUUUGAGAAAUUUAUAUUUCCAUUCAUUAUUUGGCUCAUAUUCAAUAUAUAUCCAACAAAUUAUUUAAAAUUUAGCGACGCAACUACUUAAUGCAUAACGCAUUAUUACCGGCUCGCUACUGCCACUUUAUGUUGUUUUCGUGCCUUGAAGAAUUGCAUGUGGCGAUAAUUAAUAAUAAUAAUUUCACAUAAUGAAAACGUCAAAAUUUCGGGUUGUUUUUUCUUCCGUUUUUAAUUAUUUGGAUGGGGUUGCAGAUUCAGCAUUAAGGGAUGCAUAAAUGAUGAUGGCAUCUUAUAUAGGUCUCUAUGAUCAACCUCACCUAUCUGUAAUUGUUUUUUGGGUAACUCUAAAAAAAAAUAUAAAAUUAUAAAUCAAAAUUAGUAAAAUAAUAAUAAUGUCUAUAGUGGGGCACCGUUUUGGUGUGGAGUUCGAAAGGGGAUGGUUAGUUAAUCAAAUUACCAAAUCACAUUUAGUUAGCAAGUGUUUGACCAAUCAGCCUUUCCAAUUUGUCAAACACCUUUACACAAUCACAUUUGCCUUUGUUUUUUUCUUGGGCUAAGCGAAAUUCUUGCGCGAUUAUCGGAAAACAUAAAUUUUCAUAGAAAUUGCAAAACGAGGCCCAUAAAUACCGUUUGGAAUGGAUGACAUGUCAGUGCCCCUUCCUUUUUCCUCGUAUUUCUGAAAUAAUAAAUCUAUCCCACAUUGUGACCACCUACACAUUAGUAUGAUAAGAAAAAUCUUAAUUUAUUUAAUUUAUUUUUAAAAAUAAAAAUAGGAGUUAGUUAUUUUACUAUAUUCUCUACAUUGUAAUUAUUUUUUUUUAUUUUUUUUACAUUUUUUAUUUUUAAUUUAUUUUAUAAUAAAAAUAAAAAGUUGCCAAAAAAUUACAAAAAAAUAAUUACAAUGUAGAGAAUAUGAUAAAAUAACUAAAUCUUAUUUUUAUUUUAAAAAAUAAGUUAAAUAAAUUAAAUUAUUUUUUAUUUAAGUAAAUUGUGGGUGGCCACAAUGUGGCUGUUUAGCAUUACUCUUUCUGAAAUUAGAUGGUUUUAAAUUGUAAGUAGUAUUGUAUAUCGUGUAAUACAUGAAAGUAAAAUAUACUAAAUUACUAAUACUCCAUUAUAAAAUGAAAAAUAAAAGUAUACUCAAUAUUUAGGUAAAUAAUUGUCUCAAGACACAAAGUAAUUGAAUAUUAGUGAGCCGAUGUUAUUACUAAUUGAAAUACUCCCUCCGUCCUGCGAAGCGUGACCCACUUUCUUUUUUGGGUUGUCCCACGAAGUUUGACCUAUUUCUAAAAAUGGCAAAAAAUUUACCCUUUAUUCACCUUUUCACUUUUUCACCUACCACACUUAACACACAAAAUACUAAUUUUUAAUUUCGUGCUGAAAAGAAAUGAGUCACGCUUCAUGGGACGGAGGGAGUAUAUACCUAUUUUAAAUAAAAGAGAGUAUGCAUAAAAAAGUGGGUAGUAAAAUGAGUCCAUCAAAUACAAAGUCUCGUAUGCAAAAGACCUUGUGUAGCUUCAAUUAGUGAAUUUUACAAUUUUAGGGUGUCAAAUUUUGAUCUUUCUUCGCAGCGUCCAUUCUCUUAUUCAAUUCAUAUUUUCAAUCACUCCUGAUCAAUCGAUUAUCAAUGCAGGGCUGACCUUAUAUCUAGGGGUGAGCAAAAACCGAACCGACCGAAAAAACCGACCAAAAAAUGGCCGAACCGAUCGGUUUUCGGUCGGUUUUUCCGGCCUGGGCGGUCGGUUCGGCCCAAAUUUUUUAGAAAUUUCGGUUUGGUCGGCCGGUUCGGUUUUCUCGAUUUUGGCCGGUCGAAAACCGAACCGACCGAACUAUUUAGUUUACUAGGGUUUUUUUUUCUCCCACUAAUUCUCCCUAACCUAAUUCCUCUCCAUUGCGCCGCACCCCACCCCACCCGCAGGCCCUCUGCCCUUCACCCCUACGGACAACCACCAGCCGAGCGCCGGCGAACCAGAACCCUAGCCCAGUCCGAGGCAGCGCCGAACAGCAGCCUGGAACUCGCAGCCGUCGCCGCGACCGCGAUUCGCGAAGAACCCCAGCCCGCAGUCGUCGUCGCCGCGCCCAGCCCGCAGCUGUCGUCGCCGCGCCCAGCCCACAGCCGUCGUCGUCCACAGCACAGGUUAGUUUCGGAGCGGUGAGCCUUCCUCUGCACCGCCGCCUCACCUCCACACCUGAGCGAGUCGCGCCGCCGCCUCACCUCCAACUGUUGCUUCUCUGAGUCGUGCCGCCGCUGCCAGUUCGGCUCGGCUCCUAUUCGGUCGGUCGAAAACCGAUUAUUUCCACGGUUCGGUGAUCGGCCGGUUGGUCUUUCGAACGUCGGUCGGCUCGGCCCAUAAAUCCUCCAAACCGUCGGCCCAUCGGUUUGCGUUUUUUUGGUCGGUCGGCCGGCCGAACCGACCGAUGCACAGCCCUACUUAUAUCUCAUAUGACCCUAAGCAUAAUUAUAAAUGAACCUUAUAUUUUUUUAUAUGAGCGACAAAGAAUAAUAUAUUAACAUAAUAUUUUUUAAUUAAUUAUUCAAGAGUUUUUCAACCUAAAGAAAAGAAUAGAGAAGGCACUAACAACAUUAAUAAAUUUGGGGCCCUAAAAACUAAUAAAUAAAAAAAUUGUGCCCCAAAAAAUUUAGAGCCCUAACUAGCAACUUGUUGAGCAUAUAGUCAGGUAGGGAUUUGCUUUGAUCGAUGCAACCCAUACUCGAUUGGAUAGCAUGAGAAGUAUAGUACUCCCUCCGUCCCAUUACAAAUGUCCCACUUUUCAUAAUAGAACGUCCCAUUCUUUUUUUGACAAUAUAUUCUAUAUCUAUACCUAAUAUUUAAACAAUUUUCACCAACUCACUUUAUAUACUGUCUAUAUAUUUCUUAAUCUUCGUGUCCAAAAGUAAUGAGACAUUUGUAAUGAGACGGAGCUAGGGAGUACGUACAUCUUAUAACCCUCUUUUUUGUUUGAAAAAAUGAAAAUCGUGAAGACUAUUGGUAUAGAGGAAUGCAAAUAAACAGUGCAACACAUGUACUAAUAUUUAAAGAAUAAUGAAAUAUAUAAUAUUAAUAAUAAAAUAAUUAGCUAAUAAAAACAUAUAUACGUAUUAUGUUAUAACAAUCGAAAAUUCUAAACACGAAUAGAUUUUUUUUUACUAAGCGUAAUAGAUAUAAUAACUUAAUAAUGGCAAUAAAUAAGACAAUAAAUGAAGGGAAAAAAGGUAAUUAUUGGAUUAUAGCAGGAAAAAAAGAAAAAGAGGGGACUUUAGUUGAUCGUUGUGCAUCCAACAGUGAAAGCUGAGCGGGAUACAGUUCAGAAGAUCUGAGCUGGCUGGAGUUAGGGAUGGCAACGGGCCGGAUCUGGACCGGGUCUGGACAAUACCAGAUCCAGAUCCGUUUUUAUAUACUAGAUCCAGAUCCGGAUCCAGAUCCGCGGAUCUGAAAAUUUUGGAUCCAGAUCCGUCAGAUCCGCGGAUCCGCGGGUCCAGAUCCAUGGAUCUUGUUUUCAAAUUAAAUUCACAAAAUUAAAAAGCAUAUUUACAAUUACAAGGGUACAAAAAAGAAAACGUCUAUUAACCCAAAACUAUCAAAUUCAAAUAACACAUGAUCUUGACUUCCACUUGUGUUACAAAAACUAUAUUCAUUAUUCAGUGAUGAGCCACUUUCAGUGAGUUCAGUGACGAUUCAACAGCUAACUAAGCAAGAAGCUGCACAGACAGAACCCCCUGACAACAAUAUGAAACAUGGCUCUGUUGACAAUUUAGUGAAUGAAGCAUGCAAUGAGACUAUUGGACCUCAACAAAGUGAUAACAAUAACUUUUAAAAAGGUUCAAUCCAGAGAACCGAGCUGUUGUUUCUCAUUUAUUCCAUCAAUGGGCAAAGAAGCCUGCGUUUCAUGAUCCCACGAGAUUACUCACAAAGGUUUCUUUUGUCAUUGAUGAACGUCUGCGUGCAAAAAAGAGUGCAAACAAGGAUGUUUUGCGUGAUUUGAAGUCCUGUUUAAAAUCUGAUGAGGCUUAUCACUAUGCUGUAUCGGUUCUGUCAUGGCUGCAAAUUCCUCCGGAUAAACAUAGCUCUGGUUCCUCACUGAUAUUUUCGCCAAGUUUAAGACAAACAUUCAUAAAUUUCAAAUAUAAAUCAAUUCAAAUCUGAAUCAAAAUUUCAGUCAUAAACAUGCUCAAAAUCAAAAUCUAACCUUUGAUUCAGAGCAUCCUGUGGUAGAGAAACUCAUGGCUGAACGACGGCGGCGCCGCGGCGGUGGAGUUUGGCGGCGAGCCGAACUGGAGUGACAGAGAGGCGGCGAGCCGAACUGGAGUCUAGCGGCGUGCUGCUGCUGUUCCUGCCUUCGCCGGCGACGGGCGGACGAAUUGUAGAAGGAGACCGGCGAUGGGAGUUCGUGCUGCUGGAGUCGGGAGUGUGCUGCACUACUGCUGUUGUUCCCUAUUUCUCCGGCGGCGGGCGGGCGAGCGAAGUGGAGAAGGCGACCGGCGAUGGAGGUGAGGCGGCGUGACUGAGGCCGAGAAGGAGAUGGCCGAUGAGAGAUGGGAGUGAGGCGGCGCAGGAGUGAGAAGUUGAAGAAUCGAGAGGGGAGAGAGAGAUGAAUUAGAAAUUAGGUUUUCAAAGUUAUUCUAUUUUUUUUAAAUAUAUCUAAUAUUAUAAAUAAAAUAAAUAUAAAAAUAAAUAUUAUAUUUUAAAUUAAAUCGGAUCCAUGGGUCGGAUCUGGGUCGGAUCUGGAUCUCAAAUGUCAAGAUCCAGAUCCAGAUCUGUUUUAGAAAAUGAGAUCCAGAUCCGGAUCCAGAUCCGCGGAUCCAAAAAAUUGAGAUCCAGAUCCGUGAAAUCGGAUCUGAAUCCACGGAUCUGGACCGGGUCCAGGAUCCAUUGCCAUCCCUAACUAGAUACUUUAUCAAACUGAAUAGUGUGGUGUGUGGAUUUGGUUAAGGUAGUCAUAGUCCAAUAUUAAUUGAUACAUGUCCAUGAGCAUGUUCAUUGCUUGUCUGUUUUCGACUAAAACACAAAGACUUGCCCCUACCUAUCAACACACCAGGUCCACACACUAUUAAACUAAUUUGGAGAAAUGUUAUUAGCUACUAGUAAAAUAUUACGAAUUUGAAUUUUGACAUAAUAUCGUUUUCUAGAUGAAGUUCUUUUUGUAUAAUUUUCAAACUAUUGUCUUUAUAGUAGGACACAUGCGUAUAUACAAUUUGUUAAAAAAAUCCCUAUUCUUGAAAGAUUUUAGCAAAAUAAAUUGGAAAAACCCAAAACUCAAGACUUGAAUCACUUGUGAUUGAUUUCUUGAGAAAAAGAUGGUGUCCAUCCUAGAAACUUUUCCACAAUGAAAGCAAGCAAUUAUGAGGCGCAGAUGUUGGUUGAAUGCCAUUGCCCCUUCUACUAAGAAAGACCAACUAUUUCUUUAGUCUUCACAAUCUUCACAUUAAUAUACAAGGCUAAUCUACUCGGAAUUUGCACAUGAUAUAGGUGGGAUGCCAUGGGAUGUGUAUAUAUAUCUACAAAUAAUUGUGCACCCUUCAAAUUUCUGUGUACGAAAACAGUCUCUGUACCAUCUUCUGCUAUUUAUGUUAAUUGAAUACUAAGUAGGAGUAUUAUAUACGGCAAAAAAGAAGAUAUCAGAAAAUUAAAUACAUAGCAAAUCUAAAAAUAGUAAAGAUUUAGAAGUCAGUUAUCAAUCUUGGAGAGAAACGGGAGCCCAAAACAAAAGCGAGAGCAAACAAGAUAUUAGGAACAAGGAUUGGAAUCAAUGGAUUAAUGUCGUUCCCCAGCCUUCUCCGUCUGAAUCUGGACCUCGCAUAUCUUCUCCUCUCCUCCUCGCCCACUCGGCGGCACCCACCCUUUGGCCACAACAGCGGCGGAGGCAAUUGAUAGGGGCAUUUGCACCGCCACGAGGUCUCCGGCAGCCCCCAUCUGCGGCCCCUUUGAUGAACUGAGAGAAGGCCCAUCUCAUGAGCGGAGGCGCCGAUGAGGCGGCGCGCCGGCAGAGGAGCGGGGGGUAGUCCCGAGUCGAGGUAGCGAGGGGAUUUGGGCGGCGAUGAAUAUCUGAGAGUGGAGCGGCGGCGCGUGAGUUGGGCUGGUUAGGAUGUGAGUCAGCGCGUGGAGUUUUUGCUCCCAACUCGUAUUGUCCAUCGUUUGUUGUUGUUGAUGUGAGAGAUAGGAUGAAACUAUUAAAUAUAAUUGCUAAAAUAUUACUGCUAUGUAUCUGCACGAUGCAAUAAAUCUAUGCAGCCACAUUUUGGUCACCCACACACUAGGUUAGGUCUCAGUCUCGUCGAUUGUCUACUAGUAUAAUUUUUUUGGUAGCACGAGCAUAUUACAAAUUUCAUUUUCUGUUUGUAAACAAUUAAAUUGUCGUCGAAUUAAAUCGUGCCACGUGUAAAUUCAUGAAUUAAAUAUUUAAUUAUAUUUUCUAUUUUAUUAAAUGGGAUUUUAUUCCUAAUUAAAUAGAUAUAUAUGAUUAAUAUUUAAUAAAAUGAAUUAAUGGGCUUAUUGGCCACUUAAGGCCCUAAGGCCCAUACAUGGAGGCCCAAAGCCCAUAAAGCCCAUGAAGCCCAUCUCUAAAAUCUAUAAAUAGAGGUGUUGGGGUGCUCAUUAUAACAACGUGAAGGAGCGGAAGAUCGAAGAGCAUAAAGAAUUCUCUCUAGUAUCACAAGUUGAAGUGGAAGAUUGAGGAGUUCAAAGAAUUCUAUCAAGUAUCAAGUAUUCAUCAAGUAUCCUUCAAAUCUUCAAGAUCUUCAAGGCAACAUUCAAGUAUCCUUCGAACAUUCAAGUAUUUGAGCAUUCAAAUCUUCAAGUAUUUGAGCGUUUAAAUCUUCAAGUAUCUUGAAGAAUUCUAUCUAGCGUUCAAGUCUUCUUCGAAUCUUCAAGUAUUUGAGCAUUCAAAUCUUCAAGUAUUCUUCAAGUAUCUUCAAGUGAUCAAACCUUCAAAUCUUCAAGUGAUCAAGGCGUUCUUACAAAUUCCAAGAACGAUCUUCUUCAAAUCAAAUCAAUCAAGUUCGAAAGCUUCAAGGCGUUCUUACAAAUUCUAAGGACGUUCUUCAAAUCAAAUCAAAUCAAGUUCGAAAGCUUCAAGGCGUUCUUACAAAAUUCUAAGGACGUUCUUCUCAAAUCAAAUCAAGUUCAACGUUCAAUCCAAAAUCACGACUUAAGUCCCUUGGAUUGGCGUCAUCAAAUCAAGUAUUUCAAUAACCUUCGAGCUUGUUCAAGAAUCAAAUGGAAGAGAAGAAUCAGAGGAUUAACUAGAGAUUGCAACCCGCAUAAAAUCUAUCUUCAAAUCUAUCAAAUUAUCUUUGUAACUCAUUUUGUAUUUUAUCAAAUUGAAAUACAAAAAUUUGUGUUUACAAAUUUUGGCACGCCCGGUGGGACAUCUCUACCUCUCAUCUCUACUCUUCACCAAAAAUCUUGAACUAUGUCUAUUCAAUCAAAUGCAGCUGCUCCAGCUUCAUCUAAAGGUUCUUCGGCAAGCGUUGGUAUGAUCACGCGAAGCAAAUCGAAAUCAUUGCAAGGAGUGUCCAAGCCGAUCUUUCAUCUUCCAUCUAUCCAUGAAGAAGAUGACAACUUUGAGAGAAGCUUCACAUUCCCCACUGAAAAUUAUCAACUCCAUGCAAGUGUCAUGAUGACAAACACUUCCACCAUGGAGGAACAACUCUUGAACUUGACAAAGAUGGUUGAAUCUCUAACCAAGCACAUCCAAGAGCAAGAUGCCCAGAUUGCAAAGCUUAAAGGAGAAAAAGGAGAUUCAAGCCACGCCAACAACGAUAGGGAAGGCGAAGAAAGCGAAGAAGAUGGUGA
This 11788-nucleotide long non-coding RNA is filed under the name Salvia miltiorrhiza (redroot sage). RNAcentral's name for it is "long non-coding RNA (SMIL_LNC006504)". The record is from RNAcentral. Lineage: Eukaryota; Viridiplantae; Streptophyta; Magnoliopsida; Lamiales; Lamiaceae.